This 512-nucleotide ribosomal RNA is filed under the name uncultured bacterium. RNAcentral's name for it is "bacterial SSU rRNA". It matches the Rfam family "Bacterial small subunit ribosomal RNA", at positions 8 to 518 of the family's 1533-position model. The record is from RNAcentral.
AGAGUUGAUCAUGGCUCAGGAUGAACGCUGGCGGCGUGCUUAACACAUGCAAGUCGAACGGAGCGUUUUUGAAGGAGACUUCGGUCAACGGAAGCUAAAGCUUAGUGGCGGACGGGUGAGUAACGCGUGAGUAACCUGCCUUUCAGAGGGGGAUAACAUCCGGAAACGGAUGCUAGUACCGCAUAAAACAGCAGCACCGCAUGAUGCAACUGUCAAAGAUUUUAUCGCUGAAAGAUGGACUCGCGUCCGAUUAGGUAGUUGGUGAGGUAACGGCCCACCAAGCCGACGAUCGGUAGCCGGACUGAGAGGUUGAACGGCCACAUUGGGACUGAGACGCGGCCCAGACUCCUACGGGAGGCAGCAGUGGGGAAUAUUGCACAAUGGGCGCAAGCCUGAUGCAGCAACGCCGCGUGAGGGAAGACGGUUUUCGGAUUGUAAACCUCUGUUCUUAGUGACGAAGAAGUGACGGUAGCUAAGGAGCAAGCCACGGCUAACUACGUGCCAGCAGCCGC